AGCAGCCGCGGUAAUUCCAGCUCCAAUAGCGUAUAUUAAAGUUGUUGCAGUUAAAAAGCUCGUAGUUGAAUUUCGGGAUCAAUAUGUUGGUCGUGCCUCGGUACGUACUAGCUUAUUGGUUUCUCCUUUCUGAAGAACCAUGAUGUCAUUUAUUUGGUGUCGUGGGGAAUCAGGACUGUUACUUUGAAAAAAUUAGAGUGUUUAAAGCAGGCUCACGCUUGAAUACAUUAGCAUGGAAUAAUGAAGUAGGACGUUUGAUUCUAUUUUGUUGGUUUCUAGGAUCGACGUAAUGAUUAAUAGGGAUAGUUGGGGGCAUUAGUAUUCAAUUGUCAGAGGUGAAAUUCUUGGAUUUAUUGAAGACUAACUACUGCGAAAGCAUUUGCCAAGGAUGUUUUCAUUAAUCAAGAACGAAAGUUAGGGGAUCGAAGACGAUCAGAUACCGUCGUAGUCUUAACCAUAAACUAUGCCGACUAGGGAUCGGAUGAUGUUAAUUUUUUAAUGACUCAUUC
This 509-nucleotide unclassified non-coding RNA is filed under the name uncultured Glomus. Its description in RNAcentral is "SSU rRNA". It matches the Rfam family "Eukaryotic small subunit ribosomal RNA", at positions 569 to 1081 of the family's 1831-position model. Lineage: Eukaryota; Fungi; Glomeromycota; Glomeromycetes; Glomerales; Glomeraceae. The record is from RNAcentral.